AUUUUACUAAAAUGCAUUAUUAAUAACAUGUAAUUUGAUGUGUUUAUGCUUAUUAUAUAGUAGUGUAUCUUAGUUUUACUUGCAUCUACUAAUAUUUACUCAUUUCAUGAGUUUUACAAAUUUUUCUAAAAAGUUUAAGUAGCAUCAGGGCGUUACCGUUACAUUAUGGCUAUUAUAGGCUGUUUCUAUUACCCGUGACUGCGAUUUAAAAUCAUGAUCUUAACCUUAAUAAUGAUUUAAAAUGUGAAAAAGAUUAUAAUGAUUUCACAUGUUAAAUCACAAAUCCAUUACUAAGCAAAUAAAAUUUUAUAAGAUAAAAUAAUACAAAAAGUUAUAAUAUGAGCAAUAUUAUACAAUUAAAUUCCGAAGUACCAAUACAAUCUAAUAAUAUUUAUAAUGAUAAGAAAUAAAAGGAAUGUAAUCCAAUAACAUAACAGUUCAUUUUUAUAAUAAAAUUAGCUUUAAAGUACCAUUUAUUCAAAAUAAAUGUUAAUUAUAAUAAUUAAUAAGUUUUUCAAAUA
Molecule: unclassified non-coding RNA, 521 nt
Filed under: Hevea brasiliensis (rubber tree)
Lineage: Eukaryota; Viridiplantae; Streptophyta; Magnoliopsida; Malpighiales; Euphorbiaceae
Source: RNAcentral